This 492-nucleotide ribosomal RNA is filed under the name uncultured bacterium. RNAcentral describes it as "partial 16S ribosomal RNA". It matches the Rfam family "Bacterial small subunit ribosomal RNA", at positions 29 to 507 of the family's 1533-position model. The record is from RNAcentral.
AGUGAACGCUGGCGGUAGGCCUAACACAUGCAAGUCGAACGGCAGCACAGUAAGAGCUUGCUCUUACGGGUGGCGAGUGGCGGACGGGUGAGGAAUACAUCGGAAUCUACUUUUUCGUGGGGGAUAACGUAGGGAAACUUACGCUAAUACCGCAUACGACCUACGGGUGAAAGCAGGGGAUCUUCGGACCUUGCGCGAUUGAAUGAGCCGAUGUCGGAUUAGCUAGUUGGCGGGGUAAAGGCCCACCAAGGCGACGAUCCGUAGCUGGUCUGAGAGGAUGAUCAGCCACACUGGAACUGAGACACGGUCCAGACUCCUACGGGAGGCAGCAGUGGGGAAUAUUGGACAAAGGGCGCAAGCCUGAUCCAGCCAUACCCCGUGGGUGAAGAAGGCCUUCGGGUUGUAAAGCCCUUUUGUUGGGAAAGAAAAGCAGCAGGUUAAUACCCCGCUGUUCUGACGGUACCCAAAGAAUAAGCACCGGCUAACUUCGUG